RNAcentral lists this ribosomal RNA (486 nucleotides) under uncultured bacterium. RNAcentral's name for it is "partial 16S ribosomal RNA". It matches the Rfam family "Bacterial small subunit ribosomal RNA", at positions 28 to 507 of the family's 1533-position model. The record is from RNAcentral.
GACGAACGCUGGCGGCGUGCUUAACACAUGCAAGUCGAACGCUGAAGACCUGGCUUUUGUUGGGUUGGAUGAGUGGCGAACGGGUGAGUAACACGUGAGUAACCUGCCCUCUUCUUUGGGAUAACGCCCGGAAACGGGUGCUAAUACUGGAUAUUCACUGAUCUUCGCAUGGGGGUUGGUGGAAAGGUUUGUUCUGGUGGGGGAUGGGCUCGCGGCCUAUCAGCUUGUUGGUGGGGUGAUGGCCUACCAAGGCUUUGACGGGUAGCCGGCCUGAGAGGGUGACCGGUCACAUUGGGACUGAGAUACGGCCCAGACUCCUACGGGAGGCAGCAGUGGGGAAUAUUGCACAAUGGGCGAAAGCCUGAUGCAGCGACGCCGCGUGAGGGAUGGAGGCCUUCGGGUUGUAAACCUCUUUCGCUCAUGGUCAAGCCGCAACGGGGGGUUGUGGUGAGGGUAGUGGGUAAAGAAGCGCCGGCUAACUACGUG